This 492-nucleotide ribosomal RNA is filed under the name uncultured bacterium. RNAcentral describes it as "partial 16S ribosomal RNA". It matches the Rfam family "Bacterial small subunit ribosomal RNA", at positions 29 to 507 of the family's 1533-position model. The record is from RNAcentral.
AGUGAACGCUGGCGGUAGGCCUAACACAUGCAAGUCGAACGGCAGCACAGUAAGAGCUUGCUCUUACGAGUGGCGAGUGGCGGACGGGUGAGGAAUACAUCGGAAUCUACUUUUUCGUGGGGGAUAACGUAGGGAAACUUACGCUAAUACCGCAUACGACCUACGGGUGAAAGCAGGGGAUCUUCGGACCUUGCGCGAUUGAAUGAGCCGAUGUCGGAUUAGCUAGUUGGCGGGGUAAAGGCCCACCAAGGCGACGAUCCGUAGCUGGUCUGAGAGGAUGAUCAGCCACACUGGAACUGAGACACGGUCCAGACUCCUACGGGAGGCAGCAGUGGGGAAUAUUGGACAAUGGGCGCAAGCCUGAUCCAGCCAUGCCGCGUGGGUGAAGAAGGCCUUCGGGUUGUAAAGCCCUUUUGUUGGGAAAGAAAAGCAGCAGGUUAAUACCCCGCUGUUCUGACGGUACCCAAAGAAUAAGCACCGGCUAACUUCGUG